This 468-nucleotide ribosomal RNA is filed under the name uncultured bacterium. RNAcentral's name for it is "partial 16S ribosomal RNA". It matches the Rfam family "Bacterial small subunit ribosomal RNA", at positions 28 to 507 of the family's 1533-position model. The record is from RNAcentral.
GAUGAACGCUGGCGGCGUGCUUAACACAUGCAAGUCGAACGGUGAAGGCGGAGCUUGCUCUGCUGGAUCAGUGGCGAACGGGUGAGUAACACGUGAGCAAUCUGCCCCUGACUCUGGGAUAAGCGCUGGAAACGGCGUCUAAUACUGGAUACGAGCUGCGAAGGCAUCUUCAGCAGCUGGAAAGAAUUUCGGUCAGGGAUGAGCUCGCGGCCUAUCAGCUUGUUGGUGAGGUAAUGGCUCACCAAGGCGUCGACGGGUAGCCGGCCUGGGAGGGUGACCGGCAACACUGGGACUGGGACAGGGCCAGGACUCCUAGGGGAGGCAGCGGUGGGGAAUAUUGCACAAUGGGCGAAAGCCUGAUGCAGCAACGCCGCGUGAGGAACGACGGCCUUCGGGUUGUAAACCUCUUUUAGCAGGGAAGAAGCGAAAGUGACAGUACCUGCAGAAAAAGCGCCGGCUAACUACGUG